ACAGAGGUCCCAAGCGGUGUUCGGAUUCACUGGGCGUAAAGGGUGCGUAGGCGGUCGGGUAAGUCUGACGUGAAAUCUUCAAGCUCAACUUGGAAACUGCGUCGGAUACUAUUCGGCUAGAGGAAUGGAGGGGAGACUGGAAUACUUGGUGUAGCAGUGAAAUGCGUAGAUAUCAAGUGGAACACCAGUGGCGAAGGCGAGUCUCUGGACAUUUCCUGACGCUGAGGCACGAAAGCCAGGGGAGCAAACGGG
RNAcentral lists this ribosomal RNA (252 nucleotides) under uncultured bacterium. RNAcentral's name for it is "partial 16S ribosomal RNA". It matches the Rfam family "Bacterial small subunit ribosomal RNA", at positions 525 to 776 of the family's 1533-position model. The record is from RNAcentral.